This 497-nucleotide ribosomal RNA is filed under the name uncultured bacterium. Its description in RNAcentral is "partial 16S ribosomal RNA". It matches the Rfam family "Bacterial small subunit ribosomal RNA", at positions 28 to 507 of the family's 1533-position model. The record is from RNAcentral.
GAUGAACGCUGGCGGCGUGCCUAAUACAUGCAAGUCGAGCGAACGGACGAGAAGCUUGCUUCUCUGAUGUUAGCGGCGGACGGGUGAGUAACACGUGGAUAACCUACCUAUAAGACUGGGAUAACUUCGGGAAACCGGAGCUAAUACCGGAUAAUAUUUUGAACCGCAUGGUUCAAAAGUGAAAGACGGUCUUGCUGUCACUUAUAGAUGGAUCCGCGCUGCAUUAGCUAGUUGGUAAGGUAACGGCUUACCAGGGCAACGAUGCAUAGCCGACCUGAGAGGGUGAUCGGCCACACUGGAACUGAGACACGGUCCAGACUCCUACGGGAGGCAGCAGUAGGGAAUCUUCCGCAAUGGGCGCAAGCCUGACGGAGCAACGCCGCGUGAGUGAUGAAGGUCUUCGGAUCGUAAAGCUCUGUUAUUAGGGAAGAACAUAUGUGUAAGUAACUGUGCACAUCUUGACGGUACCUAAUCAGAAAGCCACGGCUAACUACGUG